This 22-nucleotide non-coding RNA is filed under the name Rattus norvegicus (Norway rat). The record is from RNAcentral. Lineage: Eukaryota; Metazoa; Chordata; Mammalia; Rodentia; Muridae.
ACUCUUCUACACAGGAAACCUC